RNAcentral lists this ribosomal RNA (433 nucleotides) under uncultured bacterium. RNAcentral's name for it is "partial 16S ribosomal RNA". It matches the Rfam family "Bacterial small subunit ribosomal RNA", at positions 30 to 507 of the family's 1533-position model. The record is from RNAcentral.
AUCGAACGCUGGCGGCAGGCCUAACACAUGCCAGUCGAACGAACUCUUCGGAGUUAGUGGCGGACGGGUGAGUAACACGUGGGAACGUGCCUUUAGGUUCGGAAUAACUCAGGGAAACUUGUGCUAAUACCGAAUGUGCCCUUCGGGGGAAAGAUUUAUCGCCUUUGGAGCGGCCCGCGUCUGAUUAGCUAGUUGGUGAGGUAAAGGCUCACCAAGGCGACGAUCAGUAGCUGGUCUGAGAGGAUGAUCAGCCACAUUGGGACUGAGACACGGCCCAAACUCCUACGGGAGGCAGCAGUGGGGAAUCUUGCGCAAUGGGCGAAAGCCUGACGCAGCCAUGCCGCGUGAAUGAUGAAGGUCUUAGGAUUGUAAAAUUCUUUCACCGGGGACGAUAAUGACGGUACCCGGAGAAGAAGCCCCGGCUAACUUCGUG